CGCAAAAUGAGAAACGGAUCCAAUUUGGGAAUUUCAUAUUUGAAAGAAAAUCUCCUCCUCGGACCGUGGUCUGGUCUGGUCCAAAAGUCAGAAUCACACUCUUCAUAAGUCACAUUCACGUCGAGGCUGGCGAGCGGCUCGUUAUGAGGGGACAGUCUGUCACUCUGACACAAAAGUACUUUCUUAAGGUAAUUUUCUCUCCGGAAGGGAAAUUGAAACCACAAAUCGAUAUCACACAUCUUAAAUCUCACCUCUGGCUCCAAGUACAAAAAAGAAAUGCAAUAUCGCUCUUUUUAUGAAUUGAAGGUUUUUUUAUGUAUUUCUCCAAUUUGAUUCAACUUUGAGACAAGCGGGACAUUUUUUACGUUUUGGUAAAUUUGACAACUUGUCGUGGUCUGUGGGAGGAAGGAGGUCAGACAAUUUAUCUGGAUGAUUUUCUGAUUUGGUAUACAUUACGCGAAAUCGAAUCCUAAUGCAAUUGCAAUUUUAUUGUCGGUCGGCCAUAAUCGAGCUUGUCCAGUCAUCAGAUGUGGGAGAUUUAGUCAUUUUACCGGCACUCGUAGAUAGGGAGCAGACUAAUGGCGACACAAGUCAUCGCGUCUGAUGGUAGGCCAGAUGGGAUCAUGUCAUUUCAUCAUUUUUCUCAUGGUCGCUCUUUGCGCGGAGGAAAAAUGAGUAUUUAUCCGGAAGUAAAUUCGACAGGAUUUUUACGCAUUACAAAUAUGCUUGCAAAAAUUGUAAUAUUUGUUGCAAAUUUGUCUUUGCACACGGCACUCGCUAAUUACCCCACGAACAACAUGUAUAUCUACAUAGGCGAGGAGGCCAAGUGGGAGAUUUUCUAGUUAAAACCAACCCCAAACUUUUAUAGGCACAUGCAAUCUCCCUUUUACCGACGAGACAAGAUCUUUCAAUCUGCACAAGGGGAGUGGAUCUAGAACGGGAUCUGGGAAAUUUCUCCAUGCAGUCACCUGACCCAACAUGCCCAGCAACCUUUACUUACUCUUUCCCAUCAUCCUCCAACCAAGCUCAUCUCCUCUUCUGUUCUGGUUUAUCCGACCAACUAGCAGUCGUGGGGAUAGAUAAGCACAAAUCUACACCCAAUCCAACAUUUGCUUUCUCUCCGUGCUGCUGCUGCUCUCUUCAUCUCAGGUUUAUUGAUGAUUUAGUAAGAUAAUAUAACGUCAAGUCAGUCAACGUUGUGUGUGGUGAUGAGAUUCUCUCCCUCUCCCCGCUUGGCUGCUUUCCAUAUUCGUCCGAAACAGAAGAAACGUUCACCGUCGCGUACAAAGGAGGUCUCCCAGAGUAUGCUCUCUGAUUUGACCAAAUUAGUGUUAAUCGGUCACAAAUUUAAUUAAUAGGAAAUUUUCUAAAGAUGCGAUCUCCCAAGGCCCAAGUUUGGCAGGAAUAUUUGCAUCCGAAGAGGAGAAAACGCACCCGAAAGUUAAUAAAUUUUACAUUUUACUGUGAGCUUUCUCCUCUUCGGGUGCAAAUAUCUCGGCCAAACCUGCGUAUUGAGCGAUUGUGUGCCUUGCAUAUUUCAUAUUAAUUAAAGUUAUGAUCGAUUGAGAUAAUUUUGCUCAAAAUCUGAGAGCAUACGCUGGGAGACCUCCGCUGUUAGAUAUAUCCGUAUGUAUAACGGCAUUAAUUGAGAAAGACGAUUAUUUGCAGGAUUUGCACUGUUUGCCCAUUCAUGCUUCAUACAGUGUAACGCAUAAACGAUUAAAUGAACUUUGCCGUCUUUGUCUUUCUGCUUAAAGUGAAGGGAAAGGUGAAAUCACCACCAUCUCGGCGAGUGAAGGGGGAAAGCAAUAUCGUGGAGUAAUACAUACAUAAUAAUAAAUAUGGAGGGUGAAGGUAAGUUAGUUGUGUGCAGUAGUGAUGCACUUCAAGUCGCAUGCAAUAUAAGACGCUUGGGUAAAUAUUUGCCAACAGAUUUGAGAAUGGCAUAGUAAGUAAUAGGGACAGGCAGAAUGGUGAAUGGGCACGAAGGUGAAAGUCACAAUAUUUUUCAACGGUUUGUAUAGAAUUGAAGGAAAAUUGAUACAAAGUGCAGAGUACAAAUUGAAGAAGCUGAUAUUACACAAUUACACAAAAGGUGGAUCAGGCAGGGAUUUAUCCUUUGUGUACAUACGUUCUCUGCUUGGGAUCUAAUAUGUUUAGUUGCGGAUAACUUUUUCCGCGUGUUGUGCACUAAUUACUAACAAAAGUUUGUUCUUGGUUUAGUUGGAUUUACAAAUACCAACGGGAUAAUUGGAACACAAAAACUAUUCGCCGGUACAUACAUACACUCUACAAAAUCCGGUGACAAACGUGACUAAACGACUAUGCGUUGUUACCGUUUCGGUGGUAGAUGCAAUAGGCUUUCACCUAGCUAGUGGUGGGUGCUGUUACCACGUGGUGAUCCGAGCUGUGACAUCUUAUCUUAUCACCAUCCGGUAAAAUCAGGCCUCGUGUAAAAAAAUCGGCUGCCAAACUGAAAAAUUACUGUACAUCAAGUCAACAGAAAGCAUUUUACACUUUCGACUAUUUCCUUACUUACGUGUUGCCAGACUCGAAACACCAGCAGCACCACCACCUGCAAAAAUACUUACCUCCUCCUGCCCGUAUUGACUUUGACUGACGAGGAAAAACAGUAAAGCGAAAUAUGCAGCUGUGACAUUAUGAGCAAAGCAACUGGAACUCGAGGAAAGCAGGCGAUGACGAAUUUGAAAAUUCGAAUGAGCACAACACGUCUUGAGUUCUGGGUGUGAGUUGAAUAUCAAUUUUUUACACCUUUCCCUUCUAAUGCGACCGAGCAGCCAGGCAGGCAGUACAUGAAGUUAUGUAUGUUCGUACAAGAACGGGCUGGAUAAAAUUCUUUGGAGAAGGACGAGCGAAGGAGACAAAUACAUGGUUUGCUAUUGUUUCCAGUUUACUUUGUGACCAUGUUUGCCAAUUGGACGGAAUUGUUGUUUUGCUCGUUCCUCGUGCUGAAUGAUUAUUGUCGAGCAGUAUACACACUUUAUUUCACACGUCGUAUGUAGUUGCGGAAAAAUAUUGGUGUAAAUACAUCGUAUUAUUGGGGGUUGGUUGAGAUGGGUUAAUAAAUAUGUUACACAUACAUCAACUAUGUGUUACGAAAUCAA
Long non-coding RNA from Folsomia candida, 3125 nucleotides. RefSeq lists it as uncharacterized. The record is from RefSeq and is a predicted model, not a curated record. Lineage: Eukaryota; Metazoa; Arthropoda; Collembola; Entomobryomorpha; Isotomidae. The transcript is spliced from 3 exons.